UGAAACAUCUUGAUGAGACUGAAGUCCU
RNAcentral lists this small RNA (28 nucleotides) under Bombyx mori (domestic silkworm). Its description in RNAcentral is "ovarian small RNA-30407". Lineage: Eukaryota; Metazoa; Arthropoda; Insecta; Lepidoptera; Bombycidae. The record is from RNAcentral.